CAGUAGCCGCGGUAAAACAGAGGGUGCGAGCGUUAAUCGGAUUUACUGGGCGUAAAGCGUGCGUAGGCGGCUUUUUAAGUCGGAUGUGAAAUCCCUGAGCUUAACUUAGGAAUUGCAUUCGAUACUGGGAAGCUAGAGUAUGGGAGAGGAUGGUAGAAUUCCAGGUGUAGCGGUGAAAUGCGUAGAGAUCUGGAGGAAUACCGAUGGCGAAGGCAGCCAUCUGGCCUAAUACUGACGCUGAGGUACGAAAGCAUGGGGAGCAAACAGGAUUAGAUACCCCGGUAGUCCCUGUCUCUUAUAA
This 301-nucleotide ribosomal RNA is filed under the name uncultured bacterium. Its description in RNAcentral is "partial 16S ribosomal RNA". It matches the Rfam family "Bacterial small subunit ribosomal RNA", at positions 509 to 809 of the family's 1533-position model. The record is from RNAcentral.